Molecule: ribosomal RNA, 377 nt
Filed under: uncultured bacterium
Lineage: Bacteria
Description: bacterial SSU rRNA
Rfam family: Bacterial small subunit ribosomal RNA
Source: RNAcentral
AUACGUAGGGGGCAAGCGUUGUCCGGAAUCAUUGGGCGUAAAGGGCGCGUAGGCGGAUACUUAAGUCUGGUGUGAAAACCUAGGGCUCAACCCUGGGACUGCAUCGGAAACUGGGUAUCUUGAGGACAGGAGAGGAAAGUGGAAUUCCACGUGUAGCGGUGAAAUGCGUAGAUAUGUGGAGGAACACCAGUGGCGAAGGCGACUUUCUGGACUGUAACUGACGCUGAGGCGCGAAAGCGUGGGGAGCAAACAGGAUUAGAUACCCUGGUAGUCCACGCCGUAAACGAUGAGUGCUAGGUGUAGAGGGUAUCGACCCCUUCUGUGCCGUAGCUAACGCAUUAAGUACUCCGCCUGGGGAGUACGUGCGCAAGCAUGAA